RNAcentral lists this ribosomal RNA (394 nucleotides) under uncultured bacterium. RNAcentral's name for it is "bacterial SSU rRNA". It matches the Rfam family "Bacterial small subunit ribosomal RNA", at positions 116 to 507 of the family's 1533-position model. The record is from RNAcentral.
UAUCGGAACAUACCCUAGAGUGGGGAUAACGUAGCGAAAGUUACGCUAAUACCGCAUACGCACUAAGGUGGAAAUCGGGGAUCUUCGGACCUCAUGCUCAUGGAGUGGCCGAUAUCUGAUUAGCUAGUUGGUGAGGUAAAGGCUCACCAAGGCGACGAUCAGUAGCUGGUUUGAGAGAACGACCCAGCCACACUGGAACUGAGACACGGUCCAGACUCCUACGGGAGGCAGCAGUGGGGAAUUUUGGACAAUGGGGGCAACCCUGAUCCAGCAAUGCCGCGUGAGUGAAGAAGGCCUUCGGGUUGUAAAGCUCUUUUGUCAGGGGAGAAACGGUGAGUUCUAAUAAAGCUUGCUAAUGACGGUACCUGAAGAAUAAGCACCGGCUAACUACGUG